Molecule: long non-coding RNA, 1928 nt
Filed under: Polistes dominula (European paper wasp)
Lineage: Eukaryota; Metazoa; Arthropoda; Insecta; Hymenoptera; Vespidae
Description: uncharacterized LOC107067820
Source: RNAcentral
GAAAAGAAAAAGACGUAAUGAGCAAUGAGUAGCCUAGAUCGGGUAGGCAACGUUGUGAGAUCCUGUAAGUCCUUUUAACUUCAUUGAGAUAAAACAUCAUUUUUUUUCUACGUAGCUGUAUAGAUCGUAUGCGAAUAAAUCUCGGUCGUUUUAUAUUUAUAUGAUUUAUAUGAUUUAUAUGAUUUAUCAUAGAAAUAUUAGUUACUAUACACUAUCGUACAAUAGUCGAACGAAGAUGAUCUAAAAAGAUAAUUUGUAGAACAUAUUUCGAAUGAUCGUUUUAAUAUGGAUUAGAAAUAAUAAUUUUUUAUUUGGUGCCAUUUAAAAUGUACCGGGCGACGAGAAGUACUCGAUCCACCAUCGAACCCUCUCCCACUUUACCUUACUGUGCUACCGUCGAUGUUGGCCGUCGAUGUUGGCCGUCGAUUCGACGGACGACAGAUUCGCGGACUUCGCAUUACUGAUUGUGGCUUUCAAUCUCGAAAGGACGCGUCUUUGUUAGUUGCUAAUAUUUUUUUAAUAGUGCUUCUUUUGCAUACUUUACGGUGAUUCAUUUAAAGAAAAUUAUUAUGAAGAAAUGAGUGCAAUUCUAUCUUUCACCGUAUACGAGCAAGUAUAUGAGGGUGAAUGCUUUCUUACAUUAAACUUCAAUAAUUUACGCGGAUAAUUAACGAUAGCUAACGAUAGUUAACGAUUACUUAUAUCCCGUUAAUGAUAUCAAUAAUCGAUGAUUCGACGAUAAGUAUAGGCGAUCAAUGCAGUCGAAUGUUACUCUCUUCAUUGAACAUGCAUAUAUCUACUAACAUGUUACCUGGAUUUUUAUUUCCGCUGGGUAUUGGAUGAUGGAUCGUUGUUAGCCACAUCAGUGAAAAACAUGGGGCAUCAUUAAGGACGUGGUAAUUUUUCAAAAAUCAUUAUUGACUCAUUGCCCAGUGCACAAAGAUGUAUAUGCAUGAUCACUAGAUUGAAUUCUCCUUUGUGUAGACGGCCAAUUAUUUUCUCUUCCUUUUAAGUUAUCUGUAUAAAUAUGCAGAAUUAGUUGGAUGUAGAGAGGAAAUGUUGUUAAUUAUACCUAUACUAGACUAUUUUCAAUAAAUCCGUUUAAUACACGGUCCCUGCAACCAAACAUUAUAUCCAUUUACCUUAUAUCCGAAUUUCAAAGACAAACUAAUAUUCCAUGAAUAAUCAUUUUCUUUAAUCGUUGUCGUCCAUGCAUUCUUCUAAUGCAUAAAAGGGCUAAAAACCAACAUAUGACAAUGGAAAAUGUACAAUAUAAGUAUAAGGGCAAAUUAUCCCAGAAAUGAUUGCACGGAAUUUGUAACUUUCCAGAAUAUACGAUUCUAAAUUUUUGCAUAAUCAAAGUAGUUAGAAAAAUUAAAAUGAUUAAGAUAAUACAACAAGAUUCUUCGAGAGAAAUCGUAUAUAUAUAUUUCGUAAAUAUACCGUAUAAAAAACGCUAUAUUAAAGUUAAAUAUGUUUAUCUAGUUGUUAAUUUAGAUUUCAUUUCGUAAAUCAAUCGUAAUUGCAAGUAUUAAAAGAUUGCGAAUAAAUUCGAUUUUAUUCCAACGUUAUAAUUCCAAAAUAUUAUCAAAAAAUUAAGUUUAAUGAUAACGUAAAUAAAAUUCCGAAUGUGAUAUAUGCAUAUAAAGGGUAACAAAUGAAAGAUUACUAAUUACACCGCUGUGAAAAUAUAAGUUUCAUUUAUUCCAUUGAGAUAGAGAUGUAGAUCCAUAUAAAUACAUAUAUAUAUGUACAUAUACACACAUAUCUAAAUAUGUGUGUAUAUAUCUAUAUAUAUAUAUAUAUAUACACACACACAUAAAAGAUGACGAUUAAAUUCAAUUAAUGGCAAAAAGAAUACUGAUCGCUACUGCUAAUAAGGUAGUCGCUUUGGCCGUAGCUAAAAAUUACCAACAGUGAAAUAAAAA